ACCUCAGAAUUUAAGCUGUCCUAACCAGUGCUGUCUGAGCUUUGAAAGGAAGCAGUGUCAGGCCUGGUUAGUUCUUUGAUAGGAGACCACCUGGGAAUAUCAGUUUCUGUAGGCU
This 115-nucleotide ribosomal RNA is filed under the name Salvator merianae (Argentine black and white tegu). The record is from RNAcentral. Lineage: Eukaryota; Metazoa; Chordata; Lepidosauria; Squamata; Teiidae.